CGGGGUGGGUAGCUGGCUCACGGCUUUGUGCUGAGGAAAGUCCGCCCACCAUCAAAAUGCCACCUCAAUCGAGGAUCUAGAAAUGGAUGGCAACGGCUCAGAAACGAUACGGCCUUUUUCCGUAAUGAUGCACAGAAAAAUCCAGUAAUGGAUAAAUAACUGGCUGAACUUGUUAAAAGGAAACGAUGAAACGGCGNNGGGAGGCAACCACACAGAAACGAGACCGCCCUGCGCGCGAAUGAUGAUGGAUCGGGAACCGCAAGGUUUCUGGCCUGCUCGGGAACGUGUUCCCGGCAGACGCGAAGGAUCCCGCGAGGGAGCCGAGAUAACCUCCGGAAUUGCGCAGGGGAUGGCUGAGACGGUGAGCCCCUGGCGGUGCAAGUCCAUUGCGACGCUGAGUUGAAUGCCGGCGCGGGCCACGCUCCCCUGUGGAGCGGCAAGCCCGACAAAAGGCGGCUUAUUCCUGCCCCG
This 471-nucleotide RNase P RNA is filed under the name Candidatus Woesearchaeota archaeon. RNAcentral describes it as "RNase P RNA component". It matches the Rfam family "Archaeal RNase P". From Rfam's summary of the family: Ribonuclease P (RNase P) is a ubiquitous endoribonuclease, found in archaea, bacteria and eukarya as well as chloroplasts and mitochondria. Lineage: Archaea; Nanobdellati; Candidatus Woesearchaeota. The record is from RNAcentral.